Molecule: ribosomal RNA, 250 nt
Filed under: uncultured bacterium
Lineage: Bacteria
Description: partial 16S ribosomal RNA
Rfam family: Bacterial small subunit ribosomal RNA
Source: RNAcentral
AACGUAGGAGACAAGCGUUAUCCGGAAUUACUGGGCGUAAAGCGCGAGUAGGCGGAUCGGCAAGUCCUUUGUGAAAGCUUCUGGCUAAACUGGAAGAGGUCGAAGGAUACUGGCGGUCUAGAGUGGGGUAGAGGGACACGGAAUUCCGGGUGUAGUGGUGAAAUGCGUAGAGAUCCGGAGGAACACCAGUGGCGAAGGCGGUGUCCUGGGCCUCAACUGACGCUAAGGCGCGAAAGCAUGGGGAGCGAAC